ACUUGCUUUUUAUUGAAAAAACUCGUGUUUGGAGUUCUCAUAUAGAAAAACACAUGUAAUAGUCAGUACUGAUAAAGAUAUAAUCAGUACGUAUAAGGACGGCAAAACAAUUAAUUCAAUCAGUGUAACUAUAUAUUGCUUUAAAAUGUUGAUAUUUUAAAAAGUAUAGUUAUUACUUCUUGCUUGCACCUCUAGAAUUCGAAGACAUUUUUUUUGUUUCUUUAUAAAGAUGUCAUUCAACAGCAACGACAAUGGUGUGUGUAUUAAAUAUAACUGAAUUUAUCAAAAUAGAAGUAACACUGAACAUGGAACCGAAACUAAAAGGUUGUUUUUCUUCAUUUUAUAACAGAAAAAAAUAUAUUUCAAUUGUUUUAAAGAUGAUUCUUUGUCGGUGAAAACCCCCUCUUAUUCUCCCCUUUUUGGUCUGCAUGUAAGAGUAUAUACUUGAAGGUUCCGUCUUGUUUGAAGUGAAAUCUCUGAAAAUCACUUUCAGAUUCUGUAGCUUGAUUCUCUUUGGUCAUCACACUAGUGGUAUUUUUUAGCUGACAUCUGUGAAGCAGAAGAUAGAGAGCAUUAACUCCAUAUAAUCAGAGAAGUACCACUCUUGCUGUUGAUAAUCUGAAUGAAGCUGAGGUGUUGCGGGUGGGGUCACAAAAGUGGAACACUGUGGUUAAUACGUAAAGAGAGAGAAGAGGAAGAUGAUGAAACAAAGCAGAAUUGAUAUCAAGGCAAGAUCACAACGACGUAUAGGAG
Long non-coding RNA from Brassica napus (rape), 753 nucleotides. RefSeq lists it as uncharacterized. The transcript is spliced from 3 exons. The record is from RefSeq and is a predicted model, not a curated record. NCBI's taxonomy places the organism in Eukaryota, Viridiplantae, Streptophyta, Magnoliopsida, Brassicales, Brassicaceae.